AUGUGGUUUAAUUCGACGCAACGCGAAGAACCUUACCUAGGUUUGACAUGCCGACGAGUAGGAAACCGAAAGGGGACCGACCGGUUCAGUCCGGAAGCGGUACAGGUGCUGCAUGGCUGUCGUCAGCUCGUGCCGUGAGGUGUUGGGUUCAGUCCCGCAACGAGCGCAACCCUCGCCCUUUGUUGCCAUCGGGUAAAGCCGGGCACUCUAAGGGGACUGCCAGCGAUAAGUUGGAGGAAGGAGAGGAUGACGUCAAGUCAUCAUGGCCCUUAUGUCUAGGGCAACACACGUGCAACAAUGGCCGGUACAGACGGAAGCAAAGCCGAGAGGUGGAGCAAACCCGAGAAAGCCGGUCUCAGUUCGGAUUGAGGUC
Molecule: ribosomal RNA, 373 nt
Filed under: uncultured bacterium
Lineage: Bacteria
Description: bacterial SSU rRNA
Rfam family: Bacterial small subunit ribosomal RNA
Source: RNAcentral